CAGCCGCCACGGUAAUACGAGGGGGGCAAGCGUUGUUCGGAAUUAUUGGGCGAAAAGGGUGCGUAGGCGGUUUGACAAGUCUUAUGUGAAAUCUCUGGGCUCAACCCAGAGUCUGCAUGGGAAACUGUCGGGCUUGAGUAUGGGAGAGGUGAGUGGAAUUUCCGGUGUAGCGGUGAAAUGCGUAGAUAUCGGAAGGAACACCUGUGGCGAAAGCGGCUCACUGGACCAUAACUGACGCUGAGGCACGAAAGCUAGGGGAGCAAACAGGAUUAGAUACCCCGGUAGUCCCUGUCUCUUAUAC
RNAcentral lists this ribosomal RNA (301 nucleotides) under uncultured bacterium. Its description in RNAcentral is "partial 16S ribosomal RNA". It matches the Rfam family "Bacterial small subunit ribosomal RNA", at positions 509 to 807 of the family's 1533-position model. The record is from RNAcentral.